RNAcentral lists this long non-coding RNA (1347 nucleotides) under Theobroma cacao (cacao). RNAcentral's name for it is "long non-coding RNA (TCAC_LNC001776)". The record is from RNAcentral. Lineage: Eukaryota; Viridiplantae; Streptophyta; Magnoliopsida; Malvales; Malvaceae.
GCGAGUAUAAAACACAUAAUUCAUAAUCAAAAAUAAGUUUAAACGUCUAAAACCUUCAUUUAAAAUGAAAUUAUGACUAUUUGAAUAUAAUAAAAAUAUUGAAUAAAAUAUUUUAUUUUCUUAUAAAACAAUAUUUAUAGAGUUACCGGUAAAUAAUUUUUGUACCGUAAAAGCUAAAUAAAUUCAUACAUACUGUAAUACAGAUAACCAAAGUAUAAAAUUUAAUUUACAGUGACACGUGGGCCCACAAACGACCAAAAGUAUCAAAAGCGGUAAAUAAAUAGUUUUUAAGGAUGCAAGUCUAACUGUAGCCCUCAACAAAGUGAGCUAUCUAUCGACUAUCCUGAGCCUGAAAUGGGUGAAAAUGAGGGUAGUGAGAUUAUAUAAUCCCAGUGAGUAAACAAAUACUAUUUAAAAUAUCCAAAGCUGAGUAAAUGGAGACAGAUAAAAUAGUUUAUCAUACUAUAAUUCAUCACCUUUCAACUCAUUUCAACCAAAUAAAAUCAAUUCAUAUAAAUCAAGUAAUCAACAUGGCUUAUGAAUUUCUUAAAACUUUGGCUCGUGCCAAAAUCAUUCUCAUACUCAGUUAUUAGGGAUACUUUGGCCAAGGGCUAUCCCAACCGAGUCCGCCAAGGCUAUUAAAAAGUUAUGUAUGCAUAAAUCAUGUUUUUAUUUUGAAAACAUAGCCGUUCCUUGGCGUUGGCUGAGUUCACCCUCACGUGGUGAUUUGGCGUGAAGUGAACUCUAAAGUGUUAGCCUCAGGAGUUAUCCAUCAACGCCUUUCAUACUGAGGUAUGAAUAUAAUAGGGUUACCGUGCCCCUUUUAAUAGGCUGGUCCACGAAACCCGUCCACUGCAGUGACUAAUCAAUAACCCACCAAUUCAAUAAAAUUCAAUAGCAUGACAUGGCAAUUUUAUUAUUAUCCAGCCUAUCAAGGCAAACAACAGUUUAUACAUUUUUGACACAAAUACCAAUUCAACCAUUCAUGCCAAUAUUAUCAUAAGCCAUUCAAUUCAAACCAUGAUUUAUAACACAACAAUUAGUCUCCAAUUACUCCAUUUUCAAAACCAUCUUUCAAUUUCAAGACAAUUUUAUAAAAUCAUUUCAUUUAAUCACAUGUUGUUUAUAAAACAUAAAGAUUUACUAUUUAAACUUAUUUUUCAUAAAAUCACAAAAUUAGAUAAAAACCACUUUAGAUAAUUAAGACGAUAGUAAGGUUACUCACUAUUUUGGGAGUCGAAUUUCGAGUACUCCGAUUCUUGAUCCUCGGGUACUAUCUCUUUACUUUUGCCAGAAUGCUCACCACCUCGACAUAAUGCACAAUAAGCCAUUUACUACAUUUGUGCU